CUGGGCUCGAAAUGCAGAUGACCAUCGGCGAAAGUCGACUUCCGCAAGGACGUCUGUAUAGGUGCUGCAUGGCUGUCGUCAGCUCGUGUCGUGAGAUGUUGGGUUAAGUCCCGCAACGAGCGCAACCCUUGUUCUCUGUUGCCAUCAGGUCAAGCUGGGCACUCUGAGGAGACUGCCGGUGACAAACCGGAGGAAGGUGGGGAUGACGUCAAGUCAGCAUGGCCUUUAUGUCCAGGGCUACACACGUGCUACAAUGGCCAGUACAAAGCGUCGCAAGCCCGCGAGGGUGAGCCAAUCGCAUAAAGCUGGUCUCAGUUCGGAUUGCAGGCUGCAACUCGCCUGCAUGAAGUUGGAAUCGCUAGUAAUCGCGGAUCAGCAUGCCGCGGUGAAUACGUUCCC
RNAcentral lists this ribosomal RNA (399 nucleotides) under uncultured bacterium. RNAcentral describes it as "bacterial SSU rRNA". It matches the Rfam family "Bacterial small subunit ribosomal RNA", at positions 975 to 1375 of the family's 1533-position model. The record is from RNAcentral.